Vicia villosa (hairy vetch) is the source of this 892-nucleotide long non-coding RNA. RefSeq lists it as uncharacterized. The record is from RefSeq and is a predicted model, not a curated record. The transcript has 2 exons. NCBI's taxonomy places the organism in Eukaryota, Viridiplantae, Streptophyta, Magnoliopsida, Fabales, Fabaceae.
AAGAUUUUAAAAUUCUACACCUUUUUUACAUUUUAGGUUAGUUUUUUUAAUUAGUUAAAUAUAAUAAUAAAACUCAAUUAAGUAAUUCUAUUUUUUUUUGUUGGGCUUUAGGUUAUUUUUAAUUUAUUUUGGUCCACUAGAUCUUAACCUAAUUUUGUAUCCUAUAAAAAGGAACUAACGUUAACCUUUUUUUUUAAGAGAAAAAACGCUGAACAAAUCCUAACCUACAUUCCACCUCCCUCACGGUAUAAACAAUUUUUCAACUCUACCUUUCAAAACCUCAUUCACGUGUAAAUUCACAAACUACAGAUCUCCACCACAUGCUAACACUAUACAUACUACUGUACACCAAAGCCUUCUAAUCGUUCAUCAUCAUCUUACUAUAACACCGCAAACGGUUCGCCGGAAGUCGCAACCAUCACCGAUCUCCGAUAACAGCCACUACAAAGCACGCCGAUUCAGCACCAGCCAACGGUUUCAACAGCAAAAUUCGUUUUGAAGUGGGAAGAACAAUCCUAAGAAGUGGCAGCCGUGGGAAACAAAACCUUGAACCCACGUUCAUCCACAUCCGAUUCAACACCGUGAUUUCGAACUCGAAGCUUCAAAAUAUUCAAUUCCACAACAACUGUCAAGCGGAUCAGAAAACUUACGAGUCUGCGUCACUGGUUCAAGCCCUCCGUUCAUCUUCGAAUUCACGUUGCACUUUAGAUUCAGGUUAAUUCUUUCUAAUCUCUGUUCUUGCAUUUGUGUUGGUUUUCCAUUUGAAAUUGAUUUGAAUUUAUGGAUGAAUCAUAGAAAUUAAGGAGUAGAUUUUAGAACAAAAACUUGAGAGGGAUAGAGAAACAGAGAAUGGUGAUUAAAGAAGCAGAAUUUAUGAAUUAGAAGAGUUUAG